UUACAGAGUAAAAAACUUUGGCCUUGCAAUAUGUUUUUCCAAUAUUUGCAUUUUAAAAAUAACUGAGUCCUGUUCUAUAGGAUUUUUUCAUUUGAUAUUUUGUGGAUUUAACAAAAGCAAUGAAUGCCAAACAAAUUGUCAUUUGAGGACUUCAUGAAGCCAUUUGAUGAUUCUAUGACAUGCUCAGCCUGUGACAGUGUCUUCAAAGAUCCUGUUCAAUCAAAUCACCAUACGUACUGUACAACAUGUGCAUGGCGAAACAAACGAUUGAAUAAAACUUGCCAAAGAUGCAAAGACGCCGGCAUACCAGCAACCUUCCAAUGUUUUAAACUAGGAAGGUUCAAAUUCGACAGAAAAACACAACAAAAGAUUCCAAGUACAAGAGUGCAGUGUAAACUUUGCAGCAGACGUGCAACUUUUUCAACAAUGAAGGUCUGUAUCUA
Molecule: long non-coding RNA, 443 nt
Organism: Mercenaria mercenaria
Lineage: Eukaryota; Metazoa; Mollusca; Bivalvia; Venerida; Veneridae
Exons: 4
Source: RefSeq, a predicted model, not a curated record